AUCAAAAUAGCUUAAGUUUAAAGCUCAAUAUUGAAGAUAUUGUGAUAAAUAAAUAUUUUUUUGAUA
Molecule: transfer RNA, 66 nt
Filed under: Nesidiocoris tenuis
Lineage: Eukaryota; Metazoa; Arthropoda; Insecta; Hemiptera; Miridae
Description: tRNA-Phe
Source: RNAcentral